GUGCGCGUGCGCGCGGUGUAGGUGCUGGGGCGUCGGGGGCGCGCCCGGCGUGGUCGGGCCCCGCGCGUCCUGACGGCGUCUGUCGGGCUAGUCCAGAGCAGCCCAACACGAGGAAGCCGAAAUGUCGCCCGAAGUGGCCUUGAAUCGGAUUUCUCCAAUGCUUUCGCCGUUCAUAUCCAGCGUGGUCAAGAAUGGAAAAGUUGGGUUGGAUGCUACAAACUGUUUGAGGAUAACAGACCUGAAAUCUGGCUGCACAUCAUUGACUCCUGGGCCCAGCUGUGACCGAUUUAAAUUACACAUUCCAUAUGCUGGGGAAACACUAAAAUGGGAUAUUAUUUUCAAUGCUCAUUACCCGGAGCUGCCUCCAGAUUUUAUCUUUGGAGAGGAUGCGGAAUUUUUGCCAGAUCCCUCGGCCUUGCACAGUUUAGCCUCCUGGAAUCCUUCAAACCCCGAAUGCCUUCUAAUGGUGGUGAAGGAGCUGGUCCAGCAGUAUCACCUGUUUCAGUGCAGCAGGCUCCGAGAGAGCUCUCGACUCAUGUUCGAAUAUCAGACCUUACUUGAAGAACCACAAUAUGGAGAAAACAUGGAAAUUUAUGCUGGCAAAAAAAACAACUGGACCGGUGAAUUCUCAGCUCGCUUUCUUUUGAAGUUGCCAGUGGAUUUCAGCAACAUUCCCACAUACCUCCUCAAGGAUGCAAACGAAGACCCGGGGGAGGACGUGGCCCUCCUUUCGGUGUCCUUUGAGGAUGCGGAAGCUACUCAGGUGUUCCCCAAGCUUUACUUGUCUCCCCGUAUCGAACAUGCUCUUGGAGGCUCCUCUGCUCUUCACAUCCCAGCCUUUCCAGGAGGAGGAUGUCUAAUUGAUUAUGUCCCACAAGUGUGCCAGCUACUAACCAACAAGGUGCAGUAUGUAAUUCAGGGCUAUCAUAAAAGAAGAGAGUACAUUGCAGCUUUCCUAAGUCACUUUGGAACAGGUGUCGUGGAAUACGAUGCAGAAGGCUUCACAAAACUCACCCUACUGCUAAUGUGGAAAGAUUUUUGUUUUCUCGUUCACAUUGACCUGCCCCUGUAUUUUCCUCGAGAUCAGCCCACUCUGACAUUUCAGUCGGUCUAUCACUUUACCAACAGUGGUCAGCUCUACUCCCAGGCCCAGAAAAACUAUCCCUACAGCCCACGUUGGGAUGGUAAUGAGAUGGCGAAGCGAGCAAAUGUGAAAAAUACUACCUGAGAGUCAGCUGCUCAACUAUGGAGGCUGCCAGGGCACCAGGCUAUUUAACAUCUAUUCUCCUGGAAGCGGUAAUUUGCCAGAGAGUACCCUGAUGCCCUGGAAGAUUUCAUGGGGCUUAUUUCAAAACCUUUGUCCCCCAGUUCCAGGAGGCAGCCUUUGCCAAUGGAAAGCUCUAGGAAACACCGGGUCCGGAGAGGAUGCCAGCCAGACUUCUCCGUCCACAUGCGUGUCAGCACACAAGACGAUUUCCUGGAAGCUGCUUGGAAGGUCUUCAUGGGAGCUUUUUGCCUCUGCAGCAGCUUUGAUCACCACAGACAUUAACUCUUGUCUAGAACAAAACUCAUCCUGAUUAAUGUAACCUGAAUAUUUUCAUCCUCUGCUGUUUGCUUCUCCAUUUCUAUUUUCUUUUUUUGGUCAGAGGAAAUUAAAAAUCACAACAUUAA
Molecule: RNA transcript, 1671 nt
Organism: Ornithorhynchus anatinus (platypus)
Lineage: Eukaryota; Metazoa; Chordata; Mammalia; Monotremata; Ornithorhynchidae
Gene: BABAM2
Gene name: BRISC and BRCA1 A complex member 2
Exons: 13
Source: RefSeq, a predicted model, not a curated record